This 292-nucleotide ribosomal RNA is filed under the name uncultured bacterium. RNAcentral describes it as "partial 16S ribosomal RNA". It matches the Rfam family "Bacterial small subunit ribosomal RNA", at positions 505 to 796 of the family's 1533-position model. The record is from RNAcentral.
GUGUCAGCAGCCGCGGUAAGACGAAGGACCCAAGCGUUAUCCGGAUUCAUUGGGUUUAAAGGGUGCGUAGGCGGGUUGAUAAGUCAGUGGUGAAAGCCCAACGCUUAACGUUGGAACUGCCAUUGAUACUGUCGAUCUUGAAUGUGUUUGAUGUGGGCGGAAUAUGACAUGUAGCGGUGAAAUGCUUAGAUAUGUCAUAGAACACCGAUUGCGAAGGCAGCUCACAAAGCCACUAUUGACGCUGAGGCACGAAAGCGUGGGGAUCAAACAGGAUUAGAAACCCUCGUAGUCC